AGUAAAUAGAUACCCGGGUAGUCCACGCCCUAAACGAUGUCAACUAGUUGUUGGGGGAGUAAAAUCCCUUAGUAACGCAGCUAAACGCGUGAAAGUUGACCGCCUGGGGAGUACGGUCGCAAGAUUAAAACUCAAAGGAAUUGACGGGGCCCGCACAAGCGGUGGAUUAUGUGGAUUAAUUCGAUGCAACGCGAAAAACCUUACCUGGCCUUGACAUGCCACUAACGAAGCAGAGAUGCAUUAGGUGCCCGAAAGGGAAAGUGGACACAGGUGCUGCAUGGCUGUCGUCAGCUCGUGUCGUGAGAUGUUGGGUUAAGUCCCGCAACGAGCGCAACCCUUGCCAAUAAUUGCCAUCAUUCAGUUGGGCACUUUAUUGGGACUGCCGGUGACAAACCGGAGGAAGGUGGGGAUGACGUCAAGUCCUCAUGGCCCUUAUGGCCAGGGCUUCACACGUAAUACAAUGGUCGGUACAGAGGGUUGCCAACCCGCGAGGGGAGCCAAUCCCAGAAAGCCGAUCGUAGUCCGGAUUGUAGUCUGCAACUCGACUAC
This 549-nucleotide ribosomal RNA is filed under the name uncultured bacterium. RNAcentral describes it as "bacterial SSU rRNA". It matches the Rfam family "Bacterial small subunit ribosomal RNA", at positions 775 to 1319 of the family's 1533-position model. The record is from RNAcentral.